CGCCCUUAGAGUUUGAUCAUGGCUCAGGACGAACGCUGGCGGCGUGCCUAAUACAUGCAAGUCGAACGCAGCUUGCUUUGGUAAGAUGAGUGGCGAACGGGUGAGUAACACGUGGGUAACCUGCCUAUCAUAGGGGGAUAACACUUGGAAACAGGUGCUAAUACCGCAUAGAUUUCUUUCGCAUGAAAAGAGAGGAAAGACGUACGUGUCACUGAUAGAUGGACCCGCGGUGCAUUAGCUAGUUGGUGAGGUAACGGCUCACCAAGGCCAUGAUGCAUAGCCGACCUGAGAGGGUGAUCGGCCACACUGGGACUGAGACACGGCCCAGACUCCUACGGGAGGCAGCAAUAGGGAAUCUUCGGCAAUGGACGAAAGUCUGACCGAGCAACGCCGCGUGAAGAAGAAGGUUUUCGGAUCGUAAAUCUGUUGUUAAGAAAGAAUAGG
This 444-nucleotide ribosomal RNA is filed under the name uncultured Vagococcus sp. RNAcentral's name for it is "bacterial SSU rRNA". It matches the Rfam family "Bacterial small subunit ribosomal RNA", at positions 1 to 453 of the family's 1533-position model. Lineage: Bacteria; Bacillati; Bacillota; Bacilli; Lactobacillales; Enterococcaceae. The record is from RNAcentral.